Long non-coding RNA from Harpia harpyja (harpy eagle), 5120 nucleotides. RefSeq lists it as uncharacterized. The record is from RefSeq and is a predicted model, not a curated record. The transcript has 3 exons. Lineage: Eukaryota; Metazoa; Chordata; Aves; Accipitriformes; Accipitridae.
AGAGUCCUGAAACAUCACUUCCUUUUUAUUUUUCUUAUACGGCAGAGAACUAAAAAUCAGUUGUAUCUGCACUGCUCCACAGUAGCCUCGAGAUAAUUUUAAAUCUCCUUUGAGUUGCUGGAGUGGACAAAAGGACUUGUGAAAGCCUCUGCGUGUUUCCAAGGAAGUACAAUGAGCUGAAAGGCUGUUACCAGUCUGCUGUGGUUUACGUGCAGUUGUCACAUUCUGUGUCAGGUCUCAUUGCAAUCAGUGGGAAUUCUGCCAUUAACUUCAUUAGGACCAAGAUUUGCCCUAAGCCCCAGCUGAUAUUUUGUGUACACCACUGGAGUUAUUCUAUUUUCUGCCAGCUCAUAAUUCUGAAUGCUAGAUUAAGAGAUUUUGGCAAAGACCAGUGAACAAAGGCUGUUGCUUCUUUAUUACGGGAAAGUUUUGGUUUUGAGAUAGGUAAUAGUAUGACUUUGUAUUUGUACUGUACAGCUGAGUUCAGAAACUAGUCUCUUUGUGUGCUGACUCAUGAUGAAUGCCAGAGCCUUGGAUCUUUGACACCUGCAGUUAACAACAUAAAUGGCAAAAAAAGCCUGUGAACAUGUAGAUAAUGUAAUUUAAACACAGAUUGGACUUUGUGUGAACCUUUCCCUCUAAUUGGAAAGAAAUACAAAAUGACCUCCAUAACAAAAGAAUAUUGAACACAAGUAAAUAACCCAUUGCAUUUCUUUUGCGUGCUGCCCAAAAGACUCUGGAUUGAUAUUUCAACAUCGUGUCAUAGUUUCAUUGACUGCAGAACUAGCUUCUGUCUUCAUCAGGAAGCAUCUUAAUCUGGAAUUGCUCCAGCUGGAAAGUAGAAUUUACCGUACUCACUACACAGUUUUACAAUAUGUUAAUCUAAAAUUAUUUUGAGAAAAACAAUGUGAAUUACAGCUCUACAGUGAAAUGUCUAGCAGCUUUAUUCUGCCCUUGGAUCUAUAUGUGUAAGUCUCACUGAUAGCAAUAUAAUUUCUGCACAUAGACCUGGGGAUAAGGUUUGAUUAAUGAUGUUUUCUUCUUACACAAAGUAUAUAUUCCUGCAGGUUUUUUUGGCUGCCCAUGUCUUACGGUAGUACAGCUGACAGAAGCUAUGUGCUGAUCUCUAUGCCAGCCUCUCAGGAAUGAUGUUAGUACAUGAGGAGUCGUUGCUCAUAUGACUAGCACCAGUAUUAUUCUGUUCCUCUUGGGUAGCUGAAAACAGAAGGAGAUUAUUGUACUCUGAAAAACCUGAAUCUGAUCCAAAAGACACCCUUGGAGAAGGAGAAAACUAGGUUCUUUCUUCAUUGUACAAUUUUCUGCAUUAAAACCUAAUGCAACAUUCACUGAAGGCAAGAUGACCAAUUACAUUGCUUACCGUGGGAAGAAUAUCAGGCUUUGGCCUUUCUACUGAAAUCAAACAAAGGUAUAAUUUAAGGGUGAAUGUGACAAUGUGAGGUAGUUAUGAUCUACUAAAAUUUUGGAAAAGCAUAAAACCCAUAACCGCAGCCAUUGUCAGAUCCAUCCAGUGCAGCAUCUUAUCUCUGACAGUAGCCAACUGGGGGUGUCCAAGGGAGAGUAUGAAGACAAGGCAGAUGGUGAUACUUCACAGGAUUUUCUCCAAUAUUAAAGGAGAAACUCAAACUCCAUUGACACAGAACACAGAGAGUCAAAAGAGUAACUAUUUUCAGUCUCUCAUCUCCUAGUUCGAAUUUGAAAUAGCCGAACACAUGACAGCUCCACAUUCCAUUACCACUAGCAGCUGGUUCAAAGCCUGAGCCAGGGUAAAAUUAUGUGCAAGGCAUGCAUCACGCUCGACAUUGUGUGAAAAGACUGCGCUGAAAUGCUUUAAGAUUUAGGAGGAAAUUGGAUGCAGAUUAAAAGGGCUUUUAAACCAGCAAAUAGAAACAUUCCCUGGGUGCCCACAAUCCUUUUCAAAUACGCCUGACAAUGAAUUCCUUCUAAGUUCAUAUUUGUGUUUGUUUUACUGUAUGAAAUUCUGAUUUCAUACAGGAAUGAAACGCUGCAGUCCAGCAUUUUACCCUGAAGAAAAAUAUUUGCCGUUAAAAAGAGUAUUCAUAAAACUUUUACUUCCUCAUGUUUUUAAGGAUCCCUUGCUAAUUAAUAAGCUCCAUUAGUAGAAGAGUUAGUUCUUUUACAAUUAAAGCUAAUAUCAAGACCUCUCUUUUUUUGCUCGCUUUUCUGCAAUUUACUUUUCACCAUUAAGACUCAGAAUAAGACAGACAUAAUAAGCCUUCUCUUGAGCCACAGAGCCUUUUAGCUGUAACGAAAGCUGAAAGCAAAGAAUGUGAGAAACUGAUGGCUUCUCAGUGUAAGGAAGAAAAACGGGGAGGAGGGAAAAAUGUAAAGGAUGAUACUAAUCACUCGGUCCUUACUUCCCUGCUGAGCUCAGCAAGUUGUUGAAUUAAGCAAGUGCAGAUCACCCCAAAAAUGUCACAGAGGAGAAGCCAACAAUACCUCUUUUUUUGUCUGUAGGACACAGAUGGGAUGUAGAUGCCCGGGGCUAGGAAGCAUUUUCCAGUACCCUUAAAACCCUAGAAAUACCUACUUUCUGAAGUGUAGCAUUCUUGAGGUUUUUGAACAUAAACACUAACAUGUUGGCAGAAGUCAGAGAGAGGAACGCCUGCCUUGCUCUGCUGUGGUCCAAAAGCAAGGUGCAGAGGUUCCCCAAUUCUAAGGCUCUGAGUGGCAUGCAGAAGUGUCCUUCAGGUACAAGGCUUGCUUCAAGAUUGACAUACAAUUUACUACUUUCUGUCAGACGGGGAAUUGUAUGCUUUACCUGAAUUUGAAGCUUGCUCACGGUAUGGUUUCUGUUUUCUUUAGCCGGUGACUGGGCAAUUUAAAAUACACAAACAAUUGUGAGAACAAAAUGCAAGCCUUUUGAUUUUCUUCCUAGCUGACUGACCUGUCUUCUACAUUUGUUUUGGUCCUGUGAAGCUUGAAUUUAUAGCUUCACCGUAGAUCAUCUUCUACGGAAGGGAGCAAGUAUGCUUUUUUCCUUCUUAUUGCAUUAGCCCGUGAUUAUGUACUCUGUGUGGCAGUAAGAUAUUGACUGAAGUCCCUCCUGUUGAAGUGGUAAGUGUACUCAGGUCUCCUGGAUAAAUGCUUUAUCUUAUUAUUCAAUAACUGAGGUCCAGCAUACUUUAAGUGUGGUUUUUGAUGAAUUUGCCUGUAUGAAAAUUGUAACUUUAGUAUUUGAAUUACUUUGGAUUCAGUGACUUAAGGGAUGUCUACAUGAACAACUUAACUCAGAAGUCUGUUUUUAAAGCAAAUCCCCCAAUAAUCCCUCCUUUUACCAUGCUGUGUUUUGUAUCAUGGGGUAAUCUCUGCACACACAGGCUGGUUCCCUUUCCGAUGAAAUUAAAGUAGUAGGUGUAUUCAGGAAUUGCACCUGACGUACUGUAGUCAUUAAUGGGUAUUCAGGUUAGAGUUCUGCUGAAAUAAAACUCUUGAAACUUGUAUAGUGUGGAUGUAUAGUUGGAUAGUUCUCCAGCGAGAAUCGUUUUGCUCUACAGAUAUGUUCCUGUUGUGUUGCACGACGUGUAAAUGCAGACAUAGCCUUAUGCUGAGCUUUGACCCUCUUCUCCUUUAUCUCUAUUGAAGAAACCUGGGGAGGAGAAAGGAAAGAAAAUACAAGUUGGCAGCAAAAUAUAGAAAUAGGAAAUAGAUAGCACUUCAGAGGACAAAAAAGCGCUGCUGACUGAGAAGGAAUGAAAAAAACAGUGGGUCUGCUGAGAAGGAAAGCUGUGAGAAGUUUGUGCUGUUAGUGCAAGGAUGCUUCCAGAAAGAGACUUGUACCAGGCAAUUGCUGAGGAAUCUGUGGAGAUAGGUAAUAAAGAAGGAAACUAUUUCUAGUAUUAGCAAAUUCCCUGCUAUCUGAAGCAUUACAGGUUUUUCAGCGAGAGUGAUAACACAGAAACCUGGCGGACAAUGGUUUUCAGAGACUGCCUGCUGCUUCUGCUGAGGAGGCAAAGAUAUUGCAUAUCAUAUCUUUGAGCCCCAUAACUGCUGAAUGUAAAUCAGCAUUACUACCUCAUUCAUCAGCGUGAUGUCUUUAAUUGUGGAGCUGGAAGAUUAAUUUACAAUGUCUGGAAAACGGCCCAAUUUUCAGGAGAAGCGUUUGUAUUAAAUGAUCAAUGCAACAAUGAAAAAGUGAUUGUAUGUAACCCUUGAAUCUUAUUUUGAUCCAAGAAAAAAAGCAAAGACUGUAGCCGUGAAUAGCAACUAUUUUUAUUCCCAUAGGUUCCUGGAUCCAUUAAGAUUAUCGUGGUAUUUAAGUGUUACAUCAUUGUACCUGACAUCAAGUUCAUUAAUAUUAAUUUUUGUUGACUGAACAAACAAAAAGGGCAGUAUAUUAAAUACUAAACUAUGUUAAGAGCUGGACAGCAUUAUUUUCUUUCUUGCCUAAAAUCUUACAAACCUAGAAGCUUUGUUCUUAACUACUUAACUGUUAUUGAAAUGUCUCUUGUCCUUUUGUGAAUCCUCAACAGAAACAGGACAAACUCUGAAGAUGGAUCAACAGUAAGACAUACUUUCUUCUGACAAUUAGCUGCAGCGACUUGGUCCUUCUGUCUGGUCCUGUCCAUAACUACAUAUCCAGAAUGUAUGUUUUACUGUGAUUAAAGCAUAUAAAAUUAAUAACUGUUUCCACAUAUGCCAGAAGAUGAGUGUGAGAACAUAUUUUCUUUAUUUUUUCCUUUUUAGAAAGCAGAACAGAUAUCAGGAUCCACCUAAAAGCCUCUUUCGUAUCACUGGUGUUUCUCUAGUCAUCCAAACUUACAUUGCUGUCCCUCUUUCAUUUCAGCCAAUCUGAAAUCCUAGAAGAGUGGAGAGAAACAAAACACAAUUUCCACCCCAUAAAACCGAAGCAGAGGGAGGAAGGAAGAAAGAGUGAGGUCGUAUGAGCCGUGAAACCAAUCAUAAUCAAAGAUUGCACAACUUCCAUUGGCUGUCAAGUUUCUUAUGAUCUGUUUUUAUAAACUGAAAUGUUUUGAACUUCCUACAAGUAAACUGGAAGCCUUUUUCUGUUAGCGAGACCAUUAGAGACUAUGGAGAUGCAGGCAUAGUGUUUACCAAACAAUAGAAGGUGUAUCUCUGCA